This 74-nucleotide transfer RNA is filed under the name Mycoplasmopsis alligatoris A21JP2. RNAcentral's name for it is "tRNA-Trp". It matches the Rfam family "tRNA". Rfam says of the family: Transfer RNA (tRNA) molecules are approximately 80 nucleotides in length. The record is from RNAcentral. Lineage: Bacteria; Bacillati; Mycoplasmatota; Mycoplasmoidales; Metamycoplasmataceae.
GGGGGUUUAGCAUAUUGGUUGUGCAGCAGUCUCCAAAACUGUCAAGAUGGGUUCGAUUCCUGUAACCCCCGCCA